This 322-nucleotide ribosomal RNA is filed under the name uncultured Bacillota bacterium. RNAcentral describes it as "bacterial SSU rRNA". It matches the Rfam family "Bacterial small subunit ribosomal RNA", at positions 28 to 351 of the family's 1533-position model. The record is from RNAcentral. Lineage: Bacteria; Bacillati; Bacillota.
GACGAACGCUGGCGGCGUGCCUAACACAUGCAAGUCGAGCGGAGAUUACAGUAAUGUAAUUUUAGCGGCGGACGGGUGAGUAACGCGUGGGCAACCUACCUUGUACAGGGGGAUAACACAGGGAAACUUGUGCUAAUACCGCAUAACACAAUGACGUGACAUCACGAUAUUGUCAAAGGAGAAAUCCGGUAUAAGAUGGGCCCGCGUCCGAUUAGCUAGUUGGUGGGGUAAUGGCCUACCAAGGCGACGAUCGGUAGCCGAACUGAGAGGUUGAUCGGCCACAUUGGGACUGAGACACGGCCCAGACUCCUACGGGUGGCAG